CUUGACCUCUCCGCCGGGUGAAGCUUCUUCACCCACCUCACGUGGCCCCCACCAGUUCACCCGGGACCACGGCUGACUCACCGUCUGGGAAUCUGGAGUAGGCACUGCCUUUGUAAAAAAGCCGUGCUAAAAACUUGCUGUGCAAGAUAAACAGGGAAAACAUGCUGUUUGGCACACGCAGGGUUCAGAUGUUGACCAUUGUGUUCCCUGGGAGUUAAUCAUCACAGGUCAGCCCUGCCUUUGCAGUGGGAGGGAGGUGUGCUCCGCUGCUUGCUCAAUAUUAAGGAAGCAGGUGCAGCAACAACUCAUUGUUGUGUGUUGCUGGUGGAAGAGCCUGUAGAAGAGAAGGCUUUGCACAAGACUACAUGCGGCAACAUUUGGGAUGUAAAUGCAUUAGAAAACCACCCACCUAGGCUGGCUUUUCAGGCUACAACUUUUACUGAUGCCAUCAUACCCAAACUCUCUAACCUGCUAUCAGAAGGCAAAAUGUGCCUGUGGAGCCUUUUGGUCUUCCCUGGGGAACUGAAGACAGGGGAAGAUCUGGGCACAUCCUCUGAGUAAACCACAGCUGAAGAGGUUUUCAAACUGUUCAUGCUUCAGAACACUGGAAGACUCCAGUAGGAAUAACUAUAAACCUACUCAUUACAGUCUGCAGAUCUCCUAGUGUGGGUGAGUGAAUAAGCAUCUGAAAACAACUGUGCUUUAUUCUUUUUCUUACACAUCUGCCAUG
This 730-nucleotide long non-coding RNA is filed under the name Coturnix japonica (Japanese quail). Its description in RNAcentral is "lncRNA (ENSCJPG00005017966.1)". Lineage: Eukaryota; Metazoa; Chordata; Aves; Galliformes; Phasianidae. The record is from RNAcentral.